Molecule: transfer RNA, 71 nt
Filed under: Ictidomys tridecemlineatus (thirteen-lined ground squirrel)
Lineage: Eukaryota; Metazoa; Chordata; Mammalia; Rodentia; Sciuridae
Also listed under: 1 other name
Description: Spermophilus tridecemlineatus (thirteen-lined ground squirrel) tRNA
Rfam family: tRNA
About the family: Transfer RNA (tRNA) molecules are approximately 80 nucleotides in length.
Source: Rfam by way of RNAcentral
GCUGGGGUAGUUUAGUGGUAAAACACAUGCCUAGCAUGUGUGAGGUCCUGGGUUCAAUCUCCAGUUCUACA